CUUCCCUCUUUCUUCGUGCUUCACACCUGCAAGUCGAACGGAAAGGCUCCUGCUUGCAGGGGUACUCGAGUGGCGAACGGGUGAGUAACACGUGGGUGAUCUGCCCUGCACUUCGGGAUAAGCCUGGGAAACUGGGUCUAAUACCGGAUAGGACGAUGGUUUGGAUGCCAUUGUGGAAAGUUUUUCGGUGUGGGAUGAGCUCGCGGCCUAUCAGCUUGUUGGUGGGGUAAUGGCCUACCAAGGCGUCGACGGGUAGCCGGCCUGAGAGGGUGUACGGCCACAUUGGGACUGAGAUACGGCCCAGACUCCUACGGGAGGCAGCAGUGGGGAAUAUUGCACAAUGGGCGCAAGCCUGAUGCAGCGACGCCGCGUGGGGGAUGACGGCCUUCGGGUUGUAAACUCCUUUCGCUAGGGACGAAGCGCAAGUGACGGUACCUGGAGAAGAAGCACCGGCUAACUACGUG
This 464-nucleotide ribosomal RNA is filed under the name uncultured bacterium. RNAcentral describes it as "partial 16S ribosomal RNA". It matches the Rfam family "Bacterial small subunit ribosomal RNA", at positions 36 to 507 of the family's 1533-position model. The record is from RNAcentral.